Molecule: long non-coding RNA, 1246 nt
Organism: Gasterosteus aculeatus aculeatus (three-spined stickleback)
Lineage: Eukaryota; Metazoa; Chordata; Actinopteri; Perciformes; Gasterosteidae
Source: Ensembl
UGAGUAGAAGUUAUUGAGGACGUGUGAUCUAGUCGUCUCCAUGAGCCUCGUCAUGAGGAACUUCUCUCAGAGCUUCAAAGACCUCAAAGGCUUCUGAUGGAGGAGCAUCUUCCUCCACGCUUCUUCUGAGAGGAGAAGGUUUCUGCCUCACCCCCCUCAUCCCUCACCCCCUCACCCCCUCACCCCCUCACCCCGCUGGCUGCCAGCGAUGAGUCAGCGUGCUGUUAUGUGGAGAGAGAAAAGGUGGAGGAGGAGAGAAGGAGGAGGGGCCUCCUCUCUGAUCCACAUGUGACAUGCGUGUUCACUUUCCCCACCAUUUAUACAUGUAUGUAUUUAUGUGUUUAUACAUGAUAAUCAGAUUACUGAUUCGUAUAGUAGUCAUAAGUACUGUUUCUGACAGCAGUUAUUAUUGUUAAUCUGAAGACUCAUAAAGACUCAAUAAUACAUUAACAACUAGUGUGUAACGCUUAUGUCAUCAAAACAACAUCAGAGGCAUUCUCCAACAGAAGUAGUACUUCAGGCCAUAGUACUUCAGGUUCAUAGUACUUCAGGCUUGUAGUACUUCAGGUUCAUAGUACUUCAGGCUUGUAGUGCUUCAGGCUCGUAGUACUUCAGGCUCGUAGUGCUUCAGGCUCGUAGUACUUCAGGCUCGUAGUGCUUCAGGCUCGUAGUACUUCAGGCUCGUAGUACUUCAGGCUUGUACUUCAGGUUCAUAGUACUUCAGGCUCGUAAUACUUCAGGCUCGUAGUACUUCAGGCUCGUAGUACUUCAGGCUUGUUCCAAUAGCUACAUCGUCUGCUAGAGAUUUAAGGUGAAAAUGUGCGUUUAAAGGCGCAGUACCUGUCUGUCAGUAUUUAAGCUCCUCCCUCUGAAACAAACACGCUGUUAACGAACGAUACGUCAUUGUAACGCACUUAUUACGCGUUAACGUGGGCAGCGUCGUAAUGAACCUGCUUACUGUGGGAGAGAAGUGGAUGAGCAGCGCAACAACCGUUGCUUCUGCUUUAGACUCACAUCCGGCUCCACCUCCUCCAUCACAGCAUGGAAACACCACCUGCUCCCUGUGUGUGUUUACAGUGACCGCUCUGUGUUUAAAGAACCGUCACGCCAAGAGUUUCCACUGAGGUUUACAGCGUGUGUGUGUGUGUGCGCGUGUGUGUGUGUGUGCGUGUGUGUGUGUGUGUGCGCGUGUGUGUGUGUGUGUGUGUGUGCGGGUGGCUGACUACAACCACAACCUCUAGUUGUU